Molecule: ribosomal RNA, 362 nt
Filed under: uncultured cyanobacterium
Lineage: Bacteria; Bacillati; Cyanobacteriota
Description: bacterial SSU rRNA
Rfam family: Bacterial small subunit ribosomal RNA
Source: RNAcentral
UAUCGGUUGUAACUCCUUUUCUCCCAGAAGAAUUUUGACGGUUUCUGAGGAAUAAGCAUCGGCUAACUCCGUGCCAGCAGCCGCGGUAAUACGGGGGAUGCAAGUGUUAUCCGGAAUAAUUGGGCGUAAAGCGUCUGUAGGUGGUUGACCAAGUCUGUUGUUAAAAAUCAGGGCUUAACCCUGAUCCGGCAACAGAAACUAGUAAACUUGAGUACGGUAGGGGCAGAGGGAAUUCUCGGUGUAGUGGUGAAAUACGUAGAUAUCGAGAAGAACACCAAUAGCGAAAGCACUCUGCUGGGCCGAAACUGACAUUGAGAGACGAAAGCUAGGGGAGCAAAAGGGAUUAGAUACCCCUGUAGUCC